This 2919-nucleotide ribosomal RNA is filed under the name Salinimicrobium nanhaiense. Its description in RNAcentral is "Salinimicrobium sp. CDJ15-81-2 23S ribosomal RNA". It matches the Rfam family "Bacterial large subunit ribosomal RNA". Lineage: Bacteria; Pseudomonadati; Bacteroidota; Flavobacteriia; Flavobacteriales; Flavobacteriaceae. The record is from RNAcentral.
AUAAGCUAAAUAAGGGCGUAUGGGGAAUGCCUAGGCUCUCAGAGGCGAAGAAGGACGUGAUAAGCUGCGAAAAGCUGCGGGGAGAGGCACAUACUCAUUGAUCCGCAGAUAUCCGAAUGGGGCAACCCACCAUAUUGAAGAUAUGGUAUCCUGUAAGGGAGGCGAACCCGGGGAACUGAAACAUCUAAGUACCCGGAGGAGAAGAAAACAAUAGUGAUUGCGCUAGUAGUGGCGAGCGAACGCGCAUUAGCCCAAACCGGUAAGUUUACGGACUUGCCGGGGUUGUAGGACCACGACCUUGGUUGUGAACAGAAUUAGAACACUUUGGAAAGAGUGGCCAUAGACGGUGAUAGCCCGGUAUAAGUAAUGAACAUAAACCAUAGUGGUAUCCUGAGUAGUGCGGGGCACGAGAAACCCUGUAUGAAUUUGGCGGGACCAUCCGCUAAGGCUAAAUACUCCUGAGAGACCGAUAGUGAACCAGUACCGUGAGGGAAAGGUGAAAAGAACCGUGAAUAACGGAGUGAAAUAGAUCCUGAAACCAUACGCUUACAAGCGGUCGGAGUCCUAUAUGGAUGACGGCGUGCCUUUUGCAUAAUGAGCCUACGAGUUAACGUUGCCAGCGAGGUUAAGGGGNNNNNNNNNNNNNNNNNNNNNNNNNNNNNNNNNNNNNNNNNNNNNNNNNNNNNNNNNNNNNNNNNNNNNNNNNNNNNNNNNNNNNNNNNNNNNNNCUUUAGUUGGUAGUGUUAGACGCGAAACCGUGUGAUCUACCCUUGGGCAGGUUGAAGCUGUGGUAACACAUAGUGGAGGACCGAACCCGUUGACGUUGAAAAGUCUUGGGAUGACCUGAGGGUAGGGGUGAAAGGCCAAUCAAACUCGGAAAUAGCUCGUACUCCCCGAAAUGCAUUUAGGUGCAGCGAUUAAUUAGUUUUAUAGAGGUAGAGCUACUGAUUGGAUGCGGGGGCUUCACCGCCUACCAAUUCCUGACAAACUCCGAAUGCUAUAAAAUGAUGUUGAUCAGUGAGGGCAUGGGUGCUAAGGUCCAUGUCCGAGAGGGAAAGAACCCAGACCAUCAGCUAAGGUCCCCAAAUGUAUGUUAAGUUGAAAAAACGCGGUUGAACUGCUUAGACAGCUAGGAUGUUGGCUUGGAAGCAGCCAUUCAUUUAAAGAGUGCGUAACAGCUCACUAGUCGAGCGGUUCGGCAUGGAUAAUAAUCGGGCAUAAACAUACUACCGAAGCUAUGGAUAGUCUCCCCCCUUUAGGGGGUUAGGGGGCUGUGGUAGGGGAGCAUUGUAACAGCGUAGAAGGUGUACCUGCGAGGGAUGCUGGAGCGGUUACAAAAGAAAAUGUAGGCAUAAGUAACGAUAAUGCGGGCGAGAAACCCGCACACCGAAAGACUAAGGUUUCCUCAGCUAUGCUAAUCAGCUGAGGGUUAGUCGGGGCCUAAGGCGAACCCGAAAGGGGUAGUCGAUGGACAACCAGUUAAUAUUCUGGUACCUGCUUUACGUUAAAAGUGACGGAGGCGAGAAUUAGGUGCGCACAGACGGAAUUGUGCGUUGAAGGAAGUGGUAACACUCCGAUAGUACACCAAAGCUUCGGCGGCGGUGAUAAUCCUGAAUAUCGACUUCCAAGAAAAGCGAGUAAAGCAGCCCGUACCGCAAACCGACACAGGUAGUUGGGAUGAGAAUUCUAAGGUGCUCGAGAGAUUCAUGGCUAAGGAACUAGGCAAAAUUGACCCGUAACUUCGGGAGAAGGGUCGCCCUCCAAAGUGCUUGCACGGCGGAGGGCCGCAGUGAAGAGGUCCAGGCGACUGUUUAUCAAAAACACAGGACUCUGCUAAAUCGAAAGAUGAUGUAUAGGGUCUGACACCUGCCCGGUGCUGGAAGGUUAAGAGGAGAUGUUACCCCGAGUAAUCGGGGGAAGCAUUGAAUUGAAGCCCCAGUAAACGGCGGCCGUAACUAUAACGGUCCUAAGGUAGCGAAAUUCCUUGUCGGGUAAGUUCCGACCUGCACGAAUGGUGCAACGAUCUGGACACUGUCUCAGCCAUGAGCUCGGUGAAAUUGUAGUAUCGGUGAAGAUGCCGAUUACCCGCUGUGGGACGAAAAGACCCCGUGCACCUUUACUAUAGCUUAGUAUUGACUUUGGACAAGUGAUGUGUAGGAUAGGUGGGAGACGUUGAAGCAGCCUCGCCAGGGGUUGUGGAGUCAUUGUUGAAAUACCACCCUUUACUUGUUUGAAGCCUAACCCCGAUUACUCGGGGGACAGUGCUUGGUGGGUAGUUUGACUGGGGUGGUCGCCUCCAAAAGAGUAACGGAGGCUUCUAAAGGUUCCCUCAGCACGCUUGGUAACCGUGCGUAGAGUGCAAUGGCAUAAGGGAGCUUGACUGAGAGACAUACAGGUCGAUCAGGUACGAAAGUAGAGCAUAGUGAUCCGGUGGUUCCGCAUGGAAGGGCCAUCGCUCAAAGGAUAAAAGGUACGCCGGGGAUAACAGGCUGAUCUCCCCCAAGAGCUCACAUCGACGGGGGGGUUUGGCACCUCGAUGUCGGCUCGUCACAUCCUGGGGCUGGAGAAGGUCCCAAGGGUUGGGCUGUUCGCCCAUUAAAGUGGCACGCGAGCUGGGUUCAGAACGUCGUGAGACAGUUCGGUCUCUAUCUACAGUGGGCGUUAGAAAUUUGAGUGGAUCUGACUCUAGUACGAGAGGACCGAGUUGGACUGACCUCUGGUGUACCAGUUGUUCCGCCAGGAGCACUGCUGGGUAGCUACGUCGGGAAGGGAUAAGCGCUGAAAGCAUAUAAGCGCGAAACCCACCACAAGAUGAGAUUUCUUUAAAGGAUCGUGGGAGACUACCACGUUGAUAGGUCACAGGUGUAAAGGCAGUAAUGUCAUAGCCGAGUGAUACUAAUAAUCCGUAUAGCUUAGUGC